This 379-nucleotide small RNA is filed under the name Arabidopsis thaliana (thale cress). RNAcentral's name for it is "ATSL058720". Lineage: Eukaryota; Viridiplantae; Streptophyta; Magnoliopsida; Brassicales; Brassicaceae. The record is from RNAcentral.
AAAAUUUUGCAAAUUGUAUCUAUCUAUAAAAUAUUUUUAUUUUAUAAUUUACAAUUGUUAUUAAGUAACGUUCUGCCAAACCCGUCACGCCAAACCCGUCCCGUAAAAAAACCAUUAUUUUAUUAAUGUUAAUCUUAUUUAUGAUAUGUUUAUGAAUUAUUGUCUAAAUAUUUUAGUCGAUGUGGGACGUUGAACUCAAACAUUUUUCGCCAAUUGGUUAAUAUAUGUUUAUUUUUAAAAUUUCGAAUCACAAAUUAUGGCGGAAAGAAUAGAGAUUUUUUUAAACUUUAUAUAUUAUAUAAUGAUGUUAAAAAAUUAUGAUAUAUUAAACUUUUUAUAAUUUUAAAUAUUAAUAAUGUUUUAUAAAUUUAAAAUAUUU